Mirounga angustirostris (Northern elephant seal) is the source of this 331-nucleotide long non-coding RNA. RefSeq lists it as uncharacterized. The transcript has 3 exons. Lineage: Eukaryota; Metazoa; Chordata; Mammalia; Carnivora; Phocidae. The record is from RefSeq and is a predicted model, not a curated record.
CUCUCUAGCUGCUGUCUUGAGAACAGACUCGAUGGUGAGGAGGACGGAAGCGAAGAGCCCAAUGGGGGGCUAUUGCCUCAUUCACAGCGGAAAUGAGGCGGCUCAGACCAGCGCAGUAGCAGCGGAGGGGUUUCUAUUGUUCCUGGAAUUAUCCAAAUAUAAGCCAGGAUUGAUCUGAAAUCCCAAAUGUGCUCAAUUAGUAAAGGCUGUCUGGAGCAGUGUUGAGAAGAAUAGAGAAGCUGGUCAGGUUCAACAACAAGAACUGUAAUUGCCCUGUAAGCUCCUGCACAGCCUCAUGCAGAGGAAAAUUACCCACUAAUGGAUAUCUCCA